Molecule: long non-coding RNA, 2491 nt
Organism: Lotus japonicus
Lineage: Eukaryota; Viridiplantae; Streptophyta; Magnoliopsida; Fabales; Fabaceae
Exons: 5
Source: RefSeq, a predicted model, not a curated record
AAAUUACUAUUCAUAAGAGAACUUUUAAUCUGGGCCAUUCAUUUCAAAUUUUUUGUCCCAAUUUGUUAAUCAAUCUUGGCCAUUCAUCUUUUUUCUACAGCUAGCAUUGGGCUGACCCAAAGAGAGGUCAGCAGUUCUUUCUUUCACGUUUUCUCUGCUCUGAUUCAUCUUGUCGAAGAAGGUGUGUUGAAGGAGAAGAGUGUUUUUGUCCGAAAUUUUCGUCAUCGUGGGAGGGUUCCCUCACUGUAGAUAGGAUUAGGUUAGAAUUAGGUGGAGAAGAGAGGAGAUUGAAGUUCAGAGAAGAUGACCGAAAAUCAUCAUCACCCUAGAUAGGGUUUAGGUUAGAUUCAGAAGGAGAAGAGAAGAUGGUGGAAGUAGAAGGACAAAAUUUCACUGUUUACAUUUGGGGAUGAUCAUAAGCUGACGAAGAAGGACCAGAAUCAGAAGCCAAGAUGAUGAGAGAUCAUGUCAGUUCAGUACAAGUGCAGCAGGAAGGAUUUACAGAAGAUCUUCUCUUCAGAUCAAGUUGCCUAUAAAUAUUCCCACAACUCUCAAUCUUUGUGGUGCUCUCCCUUCACAAGGCUUCUCCUCCAAAGGUAAAGCUGAUGGUUAGUUUUGGUGACCAAAACAUCAAUUCAAAUUAUCCAAGUUUUUCAGAGCUAAGGUAGAAUCCUUAUUGGCCAGAGGCAUGGAAACAUCUAUUAACAACCCACUACAAAGGGAGAUCAAUUUUCUUUACUGUUGAUACACUAUACCCCUCUUCAUGUAGUUUUGCUUGCUGCCUUCAGGUCCAUUAGUUGGCUAAAAGAAACCAUUUAUGCUAUCUUCUCAAGAUGAAUGCUCCAAAGUCCAAACUCUUACUUUAAUCCCUGUUGUGGAUUUAUUUUCCUUCUUUUAUAUAGUCAUUAUUUAGUUUGUUUCCUUUUAUGAUUUUAGAGAUAUCUUGAGUUAUUUUUUGGUUCUUGAGUGCAGUUCACUGUAUAUGCUUAGUCUGAGAAAGAGGGACUAAAAUACUGAGAAAGGAUUAUUGUCCUUCUUUGCUUUAUAUUUUUUUAUUGUUCUUAUUAACUUAUUAUAUUUUUUUGUUCCAUUUUCCCCCUCACCUGUGCACAUUGGUCAAUCUUCUUCUUUGAUCUUUCUCUCCCUUCAUCAUAGUAGGUAUGGUUCUUAACUUCUAUGGUAAGGAUUCCAUCAAAUAUUAAAUGCAAGGAGAACCUCUUGAAGCCAUUUGUUUGAAUGCCACCAAAGGACCUCUUGGGGAAGUUAUUAUUUAAUUGUGCAUGGUUGUAUGCAUCAUACCUGUAGAUAAACAUAACUAUUAUUUUUAGUUUAGAAAUUUGUUUUGCUAUAUGUUUGAUUGACAAGAAUGUUUUUUCAAUGACCUAUGAAGCACGGAUACUUCUCAUAGAAGGCGUGUUCCCGUGUCGGACACCGACACUCGUACGAUACCCAUACGACACGUAUCAGACACUUUUUCGCGGUGUCCGAGCAAAACGUUUUUUUUUCUUCGACUCGGACACUUCAAGCCGACACCUCUUGUUGGCUAGACACCUAUGGGACACUCAUAUUACUAUUAUAAAAUACAUUUUACAUUUAGACAUAGUGCUUACUUUGUAAAAUAAGUCUUAGUUUUUUUGUAAUAAGUUCAUUAGUAUAGAGCAUAGGAUGUUGUUUUAUGUUUUCUUUAUAAAUAGACCCUAAUUUGUCUUGAUUUGAGAAUGUGUGUAUAUUAUAUAUAUAUAUAUAUAUAUAUAUAUAUAUAUAUUAAUAAAUAAUAUAUAUAUAUAUAAUAUAUAUACGCCGUGUCCUCGUAUCCUACUUUUUGAAUGUUAGCCGUGUCGCAGUGUCCGUAUCAUGUCUGUGUCCGUAUCCGAUUCCGUGCUUCAUAGUCAAUGACUAACAUUUACACAAUGUAGUGGUCAUGGGGAUUUACGUUUAUGUAAUGAAGCAAAUAAAAUUGGAAAGAUGUUUUUUUUUUCUUUUAAAUUAUGUUAGCAUUUGUUAAACUUUGCAAGAGAAAUAAUAGAUAUUUUUUUCUGUCAAUAAGAAUAUGUUGAAAUUAAGAUGAAAUUCAUAUAUAAUUCUUAUACAUUCAAGUGUUUGAGCUUUAGUGACUAGAUUACUCUAAAUUUUCUAACAGGGACGUUUACUCUUCUUGAUGUGUUAAUUAGGCAUUUGCGCAAGAAGCAAAUUAUGUAAGGUUACAAAUUUAAAAAAAUGUGCAUUCAAGAGGUAAAGGAAUAUCAUGGGUUGUGCAGAACGCUGGAAACAAAGAGAAGUGGUUGGAUGAAGGCCUUUUUGCUUUGCCAUGGAAUGACAUGAUUGAAAAAAGUAGGAGAUUUUGCUUGAAUUGAAUGAACCUACUGAGAAAAAUGCAAGUUUCUACUUGUGUAAACAUGAUUUGUUUUUUAUAUUUCUAUUCCUUUUGUUGUCCACGUUGGAACAUUUAAAGUUUUUCUUGGUCACAACUACCUUGCUUACACAGUUAAAA